This 109-nucleotide ribosomal RNA is filed under the name Panthera pardus (leopard). Lineage: Eukaryota; Metazoa; Chordata; Mammalia; Carnivora; Felidae. The record is from RNAcentral.
UACAUCUGGUAGAGACUGUGUAGUCACCCGGUCCCAGCAGACCCCAGAGAACAACAUUCGCUGGUGCUGGAACAAGGUCAUCAGGGGUGAAGCCUGGUGCCAGGUGUGU